AAGGCCUUAAGUUAAAACAAACUAAUAACCUUCAAAGCUAUAAAUAAAGGGUUCCCUUUAGGCCUUG
Molecule: transfer RNA, 67 nt
Filed under: Amitermes sp. A TB-2017
Lineage: Eukaryota; Metazoa; Arthropoda; Insecta; Blattodea; Termitidae
Description: tRNA-Trp
Source: RNAcentral